CAGUAGCCGCGGGAAUACAGAGGGUGCGAGCGUUAAUCGGAUUUACUGGGCGUAAAGCGUGCGUAGGCGGCUUCUUAAGUCGGAUGUGAAAUCCCUGAGCUUAACUUAGGAAUUGCAUUCGAUACUGGGAAGCUAGAGUAUGGGAGAGGAUGGUAGAAUUCCAGGUGUAGCGGUGAAAUGCGUAGAGAUCUGGAGGAAUACCGAUGGCGAAGGCAGCCAUCUGGCCUAAUACUGACGCUGAGGUACGAAAGCAUGGGGAGCAAACAGGAUUAGAGACCCGCGUAGUCCCUGUUCUUAUACA
Molecule: ribosomal RNA, 301 nt
Filed under: uncultured bacterium
Lineage: Bacteria
Description: partial 16S ribosomal RNA
Rfam family: Bacterial small subunit ribosomal RNA
Source: RNAcentral